Molecule: ribosomal RNA, 497 nt
Filed under: uncultured bacterium
Lineage: Bacteria
Description: partial 16S ribosomal RNA
Rfam family: Bacterial small subunit ribosomal RNA
Source: RNAcentral
GAUGAACGCUGGCGGCGUGCCUAAUACAUGCAAGUCGAGCGAACGGACGAGAAGCUUGCUUCUCUGAUGUUAGGGACGGACGGGUGAGUCACCCGUGGCUAACCCACCUAUAAGGCUGGGCUUACUUCGGGUAGCCGUAGUUAAUACCGGAUGAUAUUUCUAACCGCAUGGUUCAAAAAUGUUAGACGGUUUUUCUGUCACUUAUAGGUCGAUCCGCGCUGCAUUCGCUAUUUGGUAUGGUAACGGCUUACCAAGGCAACGAUGCAUAGCCGACCUUUGAGGGUGAUCGGCAACACAGGAACUGAGCCAAGGUCAAGAGUCCUACAGGAGGCAGCAGUAGGGACUCGUGCGCGACGGGCGGAAGCCUGACGAAGCAACGCCGCGAGAGUGAUGAAAGUCUUCGGACGGUACAACUGUGUUAUUAGUGAAGAACAUAUGUGUAAGUAACUAUGCACGUCUUGACGGUAGCUAAUAAGAAAGCCACGGCUAAGUACGUG